Molecule: ribosomal RNA, 377 nt
Filed under: uncultured bacterium
Lineage: Bacteria
Description: bacterial SSU rRNA
Rfam family: Bacterial small subunit ribosomal RNA
Source: RNAcentral
AUACGUAGGGGGCGAGCGUUGUCCGGAAUUAUUGGGCGUAAAGGGCGCGUAGGCGGUGACACAAGUCAGGUGAUAAAGGCCCGGGCUCAACCGGUGUUAGGCACUUGAUACUGUGUUGCUAGAGUACAGGAGAGGGGAGUGGAAUUCCAGGUGUAGCGGUGAAAUGCGUAGAUAUCUGGAAGAACACCAGUGGCGAAGGCGGCUCUCUGGACUGCAACUGACGCUGAGGCGCGAAAGCUGGGGGAGCAAACAGGAUUAGAUACCCUGGUAGUCCCAGCCGUAAACGAUGAACACUAGGUGUAGGGGGUAUCGACCCCCCCUGUGCCGGGGCUAACGCAAUAAGUGUUCCGCCUGGGGAGUACGGCCGCAAGGUUGAA